Molecule: non-coding RNA, 8534 nt
Organism: Callithrix jacchus (white-tufted-ear marmoset)
Lineage: Eukaryota; Metazoa; Chordata; Mammalia; Primates; Cebidae
Source: RefSeq, a predicted model, not a curated record
AUGAUCUCAGCUCGCUGUAACCUCUGCCUCCCAGGUUCAGGUGAUUCUCCUGCCUCAGCCUCCAAAGUUGCUGGGACUGCAGGUGUGCACCACCACGCCCAGCUAGUUUUUAUAUUUUUAGUAGAGAUGGGUUUCACCGUGUUGGCCAGGCUGGUUACGAACUCCUGACCUCAAGUGAUCCAUUCGCCUUGCAUGAGCCACCGUGGCCGGCUGCCACUGACAGUUUUUACUGGCACUUGUUGUAGUCCCAGAUGCCACCUGCUACCUGUGCUGGGGCUUCAGAGUGCCUAGCUGCAGGUUGAGGUCCUGGUCUUGUCACUGCUGCUCGCUGAGCCUGCUUCCGAUGCUGGGAUUUGCCUUCCAAGGGUGUGUUUGGGUCUGUAGAGAAGAGCCUCCUUACACGUCACAUUUACUUCCCCACAGGUCAUUCCUUAGCAUCUCCUACAGCUUGGCCUCCUCCUUAGUCCCUGUGGCCGGUACAGCUCUCAUUCCACAUUCUUAAAUGAUUUUAACCUCCCAAAGGGUUGGGAUUACAGGCGUGAGCCACUGCACCUGGCCUAAAAUAUCUUUCUAUGAUUCAAUCUGUAGGUCAGACCUACCACUCUGCUGUAGUGGUAGAAACUGAACUUCAGUUAGGAGAUUUUCCUGUCUUUCCCACAGGGGUGUGUCACUGUCAGAGGAAGACUGUCAGAUCUCUGCAGCAUGACCCUCAUCCUUGUUCCCAACCUUUUCUGUCAGUCACUGUCUGCUCCCUCUCUUUGGGUGGCUGCCAUCAAUGACCUAUUAUUGUCAUUGCCAUAGAUCCCCUAGCAGCACUCCCUCUCCCGCAGUUGUCAUUCCAGUCUUGCUGCACAGUAUGCUAAGAAUGUUCUCUUGGCUUCUGACAGUUAAAUGUUGCCAUCCAGAAUAAAUGCCAUUGCAGAAUCCUGUCAUCCUCAAGACACCAGGGAGCCAAGUUCCAUGGUAGCGGCUCCUAGCCACAGAGGACAGCCACUGCCAGCUUUCAAUGAUGCCAGUGCCCCCUCACUAGCACAUUCUGCAUUACCUUAGUGAAGGGAACCUCCUCUGGGCAACUCCAUGAAACACCUCUGGUCUCAUGUAAUAAAUUCAUUCUAACAUUCCCACUUCCCUGAGCCUUCCUCUCUACCUUAUUAACUGUAGGCCACUAUGGUGUCCAAGCUUCUGGGAGCUGUCUGGCAGCAUAUGAAGACACCAGGCGUCCUUUGACAGGACUUUAGAUCCCGAGUGUUGGGGGAUGCUCCCUUGUCAAUCAAUUCCCUACCAGUCUUAUAUUGCCCCCUCCCCGCCUGGAUCUGGUACCCUCAAGAUUGCUCCCACAAGUGUUCUCCCAGGCCCUGCAACUUUUUGGGUGACUGAGCUAUUUCCUCCUAGAGUAGGAUAUAUUUCACUGCUUGGGCUUUGCUGAAAUAUGAUCCUGCUUAUUGGUCUGCAGGCAAUGAGAGGAGGUGGAUCUUGAGGAGAAUUAGUGUUAUACUACAGGGCACUCACCUGUAACAGGGGAGAUCUCUGCACUGUCUCCAGGCUAGCAAAGCUGUCCUCCUCUAUCAAUGGGAAGAAGGCAGUUUCUGCUGGCCAGGAUGGAUCAGGGGACUCUAGGGGCUCAAGGUUCUUUGGUACAUCCACCGAAACAUUCCAUGGCAGGCCUCAGGGUUCCAUUUCUUCCCUUUAAAAGCCCACAGUGGGCUGGAUACUGUGGUUCAUGCCUGUAAUCCUAGAGGUUUGGGAGGCCAAGGCAGGAGGGUCAGUUGAGGCCAGGAGUCCAAAACCAGCCUGAACAACAUAGCAAGAUCCCUGUCCACAAAAAUAAAAAUAAUAAAAGCCCCCACUUUAGGACAGGAAAACUACUGAGGAUGCACAAGUGUCCUUUGCACUUCUGCUGCCCUUGUGAUGAAAUCCUGGGUCUCGUUUUCAGCAUGUUCUACCUCCUGGCCAUGGAAGCAAGGUUUUCUUUACAUGUUGCCUUGGGAGAGUUCCUGGCUUUCACAGCAUGCUCUGAGUAGAUAGCAGGCUGAACUGUUUCUUUCAUUCUCUUUCUUCUAAGCUUCUAAGGUGAUUUAGAAAAGCUAGCCACCUCCAUAAUCCUUGCAACAGCAGCUGCUUCCACAUCUUUCAAGUGACAAAGCUGCUGUAUAAGAAGUUUUCUCUUCAACUUCUAUCUCCUAAUCUAUCCUAAUCACAGGUAAGAGUCUUUAGGGCACGAGGAGGUUAUCACCAACUCUGUGUGUGUGUGUCUUUGUUGCCUUCUGAAUAGUAAGUGAUCCACUUUCGUAUUCCUAUUCCUAGGUCUGUCUUCUAGUGCUACUGCCAGUAUUCACUGCCUUAGCUUGAAUCUUCACAAAAACAGAGCUUGAUCCUGGAACUUGGGCACAGUAGAGACAGAGUUUCACCGUGUUGGCCAGGAUGGUCUCGAUCUCUUGACCUUGUGAUCCGCCCGCCUCAGGCUCCCAAAGUGCUGGGAUUACAGGCGUGAGCCACCACGCCCAGCCUGCUGAAACUUUCAACAGCAAUUUCCCACUUCUUCCUCCCCUCAGCCCUGGAAACCACCAUUGUACUCUCUGCUUCUACUUCAAGGAUGACCUGGCAAAGACCACUGAGACGCCCUCAGAAGCGGCUUUAUCUCUUCUCAGGGUAAAGUCUUCUUUCUUUGUCUGAUAUGGGAAUUUUAUUUCUCUUGGUUUCUUUCCAUUUCAUUUGAAUUAUUAUUUUCAAAUCUCGCCAUGGAAAUUAUAAAUGAAUUGCAGAAUUUUUUGGUGGGCAAAUGCAAGAGUCCAUUACCAACUAAGAACUGAUUCAAGACGGCAUCCAUAGAUGACAGCUUUAGUGACAAACUACAUGGCAGAACAUUUUCCUCAUGGGAAAUUAGUUCUUCUUGGAAAACACAGUGACUUUAUAACCAAAAUUAUUUUCAGAAUCUCCCAUGAAACUCUUAUGCCUUUCCACAAGUGUUUUCUAGGCUUUAUUUUGGGACCAUCACCUCAAGUACUAUUUCCUGUCUGGGUUUUGUAUGUUAUCACGUAAUCAAAAGACCUGUGCACACAAUAUACAGCACGGUCUGAUGCUCAGUGUUUUCUUUUCUCUAUAUGCAGUCACUAGGAGGUCCCCCCAAAAAAAUAUGUAUUCUGGACACACUCUUUUUCUAAGAAAAAAAUCUUCAUUGUUGAGAAAGGUUGAACUUACUGUUCCGCUUUUGCUGGAGAGCCACUUUGGAUUGAGCUUUCUACCAGACAUGAGGUUUGGACAGGUUGGUGUAAACAACGUGAAGAAUCUAGUAAAGAACUGUGACCAUCUCAAUCUAGUCCCUGAAGUAGUGGCGUCAUUUAGAUGGAAGAGGAUGGUGUGCAUCACGGCUGGGAAGUGGAGGAGAGAGUUCAUGUAAAGUGAUCAAAAGUGUCUUUGGGAGCCUGUGCGCAUUUCCCCAGAAAGCACGUUUCCAUGUGCAAAGCACAACACAAGGAUUACUGUUCUAAACACAAAAUGCAUCACCACUGCACACUUCACGUCAAUCAGCCCUUCCAUCCUCCAUGGCAGCUUACCUAAAGAGGGACUCAGUGAUUCGAGCAAGUGGUAUGUACUCUGCGGUCACCCCUUUGCUAAGGAAAUAUCUUAGUGUUGAGAAAGGUGACACUUUCCUCCCUGCUUUUGCUGGAGAGCCACCCUGGUGUGAGCUUCCUGCUGGAAAUGAGGUUUGGGCACUUUGGUGUAAAAAAAACAAAGAGUUUAGUCAACACCUAUGGCCAUCCACUCUAGUUCCCAAAAGCAGUGAUGUCAUUUAAAUAGGAACAGGGGUGCAUCAGGGUGGGGAGGCAUGGAGGAGAGAGUCUGUGUGGAGUGAUGGUGAAUGUCUUUGGGAGUGUGUGUGCCUUUCUCUAGAAAGUGUGGUCCCCUGUACAAAGCACAACCCAAGGUUCGGCAUUCUAGAAACCAAAUUCCAUCCCCACUGCACACUUCACAUCAGUCAACAUUUUCAUCCUUCACCACAGCUGUACCAGAAGCGUAGUUUAAUAUCCUCAGUCCUCAGAUUGGAGAUGGUGGAAAGAUGAAUUUCCCAAGCUCUCCAUUUCCUGAAUGGAAAAGGCAAAUGUGAACUCAGGAAUGGGUGCAAAGUUGAUGUGAUGGGCUGCUACUCUGCAGUCCUCAUGUGGCCCUGGUGUAACUCAUCACCACACCAGGGAGUGCCAGCAUCUGUGUGUGCAUGUGGAAGGAUGACAGCCUAGAGAGAUCUAAGACACUGUCCAUCAUUAUAAGAUGUUCUCACUGAUGGCAAAAGGCAGGGUAGCAGUGCACUGGACUUUGGGGUGGUCACUAAUAUGAAACACAUAUCGGGGAGUCACAGCCUUUAGGCUACAGUGGUGGGGUCACUUCUCAGCUCAUGUUCAAAAGCAGAGAAUAAUCAAGGACAUGGCCUGUUGUAUUUAAAGACAUGAUUGGACCCAGUGGGGAGGCUCAUGCCUGUAAUGCCAGCAGUUUGGGAGGUUGAGGCAGGAGGAUCACUUGAGCCCAGAAGUUUAAGACUGGCCUGGGCAACAUGGUCUACAAAAAACAAAAUUAGCCAGCUGUGGCUGGUCACUGGGAGCGCAAGGACUGUGUCCUUCCCAUUUCUUCUCAUCUCAGAGCUCAGCCCUGAGCAGCUUUCUUUGGAGUGCAGUGAUGUUCUGAUGCAUACAGCCCUGUGCUGAGACCUAGCACAAAUGUGAAAAGUUUUCCUGCUCACCCUGUGCAGUCUGUUGAGCCCCACACUAAUCCAGUGGCCUGCAUGGGUUCUGAUCUGGGGGAAGCUCCUGAAGGCAGUGAGGUCCCCCCCUUGCCUCCUCCACUCCUAUUUGGAGAGUGUUUGCAGAGGAUGCUCUUUCGCUGUCACAAGCGUGCCCCUAUGGGGGAGCCCCCUGGACCAGGCUGCUGUCCUGUGUGUUAGCAUCCCCAGGCCUCACAGGGGCCUGCUUCUUGUGCAUGUGCCCAGGAAGUACCCAUCUUUGGAUGACCAGAUCACAGCAGCGAGCUACUCUGCAAGGAAGCACCAGGGGAGGCAAGCCAUGUCUUUCUCAUCUUUGUUCUUUAAACCUGUGCAUUUUAGUGUGGACCUCAGUAGCAUCUAUGUUUAUUUAUUUUUACAUUAAUUUCAAGACAUAAAAUUAAAAAUUCAGAACCUCCUUUCAAGAGCCAUGCUUUGAGUACCCAGUAUCCCAAUGCUUACACUGCAGAGAGCAUUGCCAUCCUGUCAGAAUGUUCUCUGGGCCAGCUGCCAUGAGCCUGACCCAGGUUCUAGUCACUGCACUCACCUAACUCAACAUGUGUGCCUCUAUGUUGGAAAUUCAAGGUUCUCAGAGUGGAGCUGACAGCCAUAAUGGGUCAGUUGAGGUGAAUGGGGAUUUUUUUCAGGUUUUCUGUCUAAUCUGAAGGCUCCCAGCUGAGUCCACAGAGCCCAGGGAGAGUCUGAGAUCACAGAGGAUGGAGCAGGUCACCUGGUGUCAUCCAGUGUUGCUUUUCGUGGAGCAGGAGUGCUGUUCGAGUCACUCUGAAGUCACCUUUCUCUGAUGUUUGUGUCUCUGUAGGUAGCUCUGAGGACAGCUUUCCUGAAACCAGUGAUGACAAAAACUCUGCCAGUAGCAGAGAUACUCCAGGUGGGGCUGUGGCACAGGGUUCUUGGGGACAGUUGGGUUACACCUGUGGUUUCUGCACCUCAGCUGGGAGCUGCGAAGUUAGUAAAUAUAAAAGGAAAUAGGUGUAGAGGUGUGGUUUGUUCUUUCUGCUUGUUAAUGAGAAAUGGAAGGAGUUUUGUUUCCAUGGGUGUCGUGUGUGCUCUGCUCAUCCCCAUGAUUCCUUCCCUUGUGAGCAAGAUGACCUUUUCCAGAAGGCCAGAUCUUUCCUGCCUGUGCCAGAGCAAACAUCAAAGCCCUGGGUUUUGGGUGGGUGGAUAUCAACCUUUGUGAAUGGAGAAUGAGAGGAGUAUGCUGGUGUGGCAUUUAAUGCUGUGCAAGAAGUGAGGAGGGACACAGCCCCUCACAGGUGCCAUGUGACCCUGGACACAAAGUCCUUCACUUGUGUGCCAGGAGCCCACCCUCUCCCUCUGCACUCUGGGGACCUGCAGCAGCACCUUCCUGUCCAGCCCUCAGCAUCUGCUCCUGGUCACAGGGCACUCCCUGGGUCUCCUGAAGUAGAGAAUCCUCCUUUGGGAUUACUCAGUGUGCCCCCAUCCUAGAGACCCAAGAGGGGGGGAUCCCAUGCUGGAGCAUGGUUCUGGCCUCCACUUCUCACCCAGUCCCAAAUCCUUGGGCAAGGAAUGGAAGCUGGUUUUGAGAAUUCAGUGUCCAGCUGUCACCAAGGCUCUUCGUGUCCAGCAGGAAUCCUAGGGUGUGUGUGUGAAGUGGCUGCUGUGUUGCUGUGGGCAGUGGCUCUUACUCUCCUUAUAACCUGGUUCCUGGAAUCCACUGGGCCCUGGACAGAGCUGCUGGGCAGCUGGCACAGGGGUCACUUGUCUUGUCACACCCUCCGCUCUGGCCUGACAGCCUUGUCCUGCACCCCAUGCUGCAGUCAGGCCCAGCUUGUUCCCUGUGUCAGGCCUGCCAGGUGCCCUCCCACCCAGUCCUCCCACAGCUCAGGCAAAACCUGGCAGUGCCUGUUCAUUCACGUGCUGAGAACCGCAGCCUCACCUGAGGAUUAAGGCAGUGGGAUAAGGGGCUUUCCCUAGAGUCCCGUUACAGUGUUUCUAAGCUUUCAGAAGCUUAGUGUUUGUGGGAUUCUUGUGAGGGUGAGUAUUUUCCAGGUCCCUAAGGUCAUCCCAGGCAUACAACAGUCACUCAAUCUGUGACAUCUGUUGUCACCCUGUCCCACAGGCCCCAACUGAGCCCCAGGCCUGUGGCAGGUGCUGCCAACCUAGGAUGCAACCCAUGGGUUUAUGGAGGGCCUGGCAGUGCAGCCCGGCCCUUCCCUCCUGUUUUUUUGUUGGAGAGCAGCAGGAUUGGUGAUUGACAGGAAGAAAAGACAUGGGAUUCAUCAAAAGAGCAGAGACAGGCCCUCGAGGAAGAGGAGGGAGGGAACCACAUACUGUGCACAACAUCCUGGAGAUGGUGGCCGCCUCUUGGAGGAAAGGGAUGACACGGCCUUGGCCUUCCCUGCCUGGGCACAGUUACAGGAUGUGAGGGCUUGGAAAGUAUGUGGGAAGACAGAGGCUCCUCCCUCGCUGUAGGAAGUGAUCCAGGCUGCGGAGAAGGCUCUAGAGAUGAGCACACCGGAGCCUGUGGGGUUGGCUCCACAGCCCCAGGACAGCAGGAGCCGAGUGCCUCCUCAAGUCUCACUCUCCCCUUUCCUUUUAUGGCUGCCCCAUCACCGCUGCUGCUCCCAACACCCUGAAGCUGCUGGAGCAGAUAUGGAAGAGUCCAAGAGUGCAGACGACCAUCAGCAUAUGCCAACAAGUCCUCUCCUGGCACCUGUGGAAAAAGCAAGAGACAAAGCCUGAACAGGUAGAAGAAAUGUGAGUGUGCAGAGGUGGCAUGACCAGGGGAAGGCAGACAGUGCCUGUGCCCCCAUGUCUGCCCCACUCUCCUGCUAUCCCAUCAGGACCCUCAACAGGUUCAAGGAGGAUGAGGAUGCUGACGAGCCUCACCUGACCUGAUGUGACCUUUGUUUGUUAUGCUGGAAAUCCCUACAGGCAGGUGAAGGAUGCCCAGAGAACAUCCUCCAGGGAACACACCCUCUCCAUAGCAGCCUGUGAGCCUGCUAGGCUGAGCCCUCCACAGGCUGCUCUAAUGAGAGAUAGGCUGAGGUGCUGGUCCAGCUACUACAUGCAGGAUUCUGAGGCCACACACCAUGUUCUUGUCUGCAGUGCCACUGAAGCUCAUUUGAGGGGACCCAGCUCUGCCCUCCCAGCCUCCUGAAGCCAAUAGGGAGCAUCACCAGUUUGUCAUGAGCAGACAUUGGGGCUGACCAUGAACCCCCACGUUUCAUGCCUCCUGGGAAAGGUGUGAGAGGGAGGGAGGCACCCCCGGGCUUUGCCAUGCUGGCAAGCAGCCCACCCAGCCCAGCACUGCACACCCGCGGGCACUCAGUAGAUCCUGGUGUCAAAUAGGGGAAAAGCCAGGAUCCAGGACCCCCUGGGGUGUGCCCAGUCCCAGCAGCUCCUCAGCCUCCAUGGAGCCCUGGGGCCUGGGGUGGCCUCCUGGCCCCAUUUCUCAACAUGAGGUUGGAGACUUCUGUGUGUAGAGAGCACUGGCUUGGGCAUCGAUAGUUCUGUGUCUGUGUCCGAUGCCAACAAAAGAAACCCUGGAAGACAAGUCAGGGCUGUGGUCACUUGGGAGAAGUUAAGGGGCACGAUUCAGGGAGCCACUGUUUUAAAUGUAUUUUCCUAUUCGAAAUUUACAUAUACAUACAAAUGUGUGUUUGUCUGUAUUAUAUAUAAAUACUUUAAAACGUAGUGUUUUCUGUAAUCCUUUUAUGCUGGAAUGUAUUACGUGGGAAAUGUGUGUUUUGCCAAAGCAUAAUGAUUUCCUGAAUGAAAAUGCACAGACAGGGUUGGUGGG